This 2348-nucleotide long non-coding RNA is filed under the name Heterocephalus glaber (naked mole-rat). Its description in RNAcentral is "lncRNA (ENSHGLG00000046932.1)". The record is from RNAcentral. Lineage: Eukaryota; Metazoa; Chordata; Mammalia; Rodentia; Bathyergidae.
CCGCAGAUGGCACUGCUGCCCGUCCCAGGGGUGCCAGGCAGGGCUGUGGGGUCUUGGCUGGGUCCCCCAGGGUCAGCCGGCUGUCGGUGCCCACCCUUCCUGCCUCUGCGUCCCCAGGAGAGGAUGGAGCCCAGCAGCCACCCGAAGCUGCCGUCCACGGCUCAGCGCCCAGGUCGGAAUUCCUUCUAGAACCCUCUACACAAGGACCACAGAACCAAAUGUGUUACUUCUGUUUUUAUUGCCUCUGCUCUAAAGCAGGCUUUGGAUAGUCUAAAUGCUUCAGAAGAAGUUGCUACUUCUGGAUGACAUUGACCUUGGGGUGCAUCGUGAAAGGCUUAAGAAAACAAACUUCUUUUCUCAGAUCAGUUGACUACUCGUGUAAGUCAGUCUCUUGGGCCCUUUCUUAGGACUCAUCAGCCUAUGAGCCUUUUUUGUAACCAGUAUUACACUGAUUGGUUUGGGGUUUUUUCUUGUUACUGAUUUUUGUUUUUUGUUUUUACCUGGUGGUACUGGGACUGAACUCAGGGCUUUCACACUGAGCUACAUCCUUUUUUUCCAUUUUAUUUUUUAUUUUGAGAUAGAAUCUUACUAAAUUACCAAGUUGCCUAAACUGGGCUUCAAUGUGCGGUCCUCCUGCCUCAGCCUCCCGGAGUGCAGCCCAACCCCCAGCAGUACCGCCCUGUCGGGGUCGCUGCAGCUCUGUGGUGAGUGUUAAAGUUGGAAGUGACCAUCCCCCAGCUUUGUUCUUCAGUACUGGGCUGGCUAUUUUGGCUCUUGGGCCUCCACGUAGACGUCAGAUUCAUGUGCUGGCACCCACAAGAACCCCUGCUGGAAUUACGCGUGGUGUCGUGUUGCGUCUCUAGACCAAGACGGGAAAGGCAGCCAUCUGGCCAUUCUAGAGCCUUCCCGUGCAGUGACAUGGUUCCUCUUCUGGUUACUUAGCCCUCCUCUGGUUCAUUUCUUCAGAAUGACGUAGCUUUGUCAUAGAAACCUUGUCCAUAUUUUGUUAGAGUCAUACCUGAGGAUUUCAUUUUGGGCGUGCUAAGGUAAAAUCCCUAACCCUGUUCGUCACCCAUUACCCACCGCUGUGCGAGCUGGAAAGGAGCUACCCGGGCCAGGUGGGGAAUUACCACAUGGGCUUCCUGGUGACCAAGGACGAAGGCCAGGCAGGUCCAGGCAAAGAGGAAGUCCCUGAUUUUGUGACUUUUCUUUAUCAAAUAACCAGAGGAGUUGCAGCAAGGAGUUACGGCCUAAACGUGGCUAAGCUAGCAGAUGUUCCUGGAGAAGUCCUGAAGAAAGCAGCUCACAAGUCCAAGGAGCUGGAAGGGUUAAUAAACAUGAAAAGGAAAAGGCUGAAGUCUUUUUGAAAUUGUGGACAACACAUAGUACGGAAGACCUUCGAGAGUGGAUGGACGAGUUUGAAGUAGAAGAAACACAGACUUCUCUUCCUGAUGAGCCUGUGGACCGCUCUUUGGAAGAAACAGCGGAGAGUUAGAAACACCCACCACCGUCUAAAACAGGUGCCCAGCAGCGCCCAUCUGGCACAGGAGAGCACCGCAUCCCGGCCGCAGCGGUCCGUUUGGGAGAUGGAUUUCUUCCUUUUGUGAAGGAAACGAUGCUCAGGUUCCUUCCCCUCCGCCUUUUCAGAUAGCAAGGCUCCCUCUGUGACCGGAAAUCUCCUGGAUGGGGCUCCACAAGGUGACACCUCUUCGGUUAGUGCCUGUUCUGUUUGCACGAGAUAAUGUUAAAAGCCACCAAUUCUUCAUGUGCAGAAUAAUUUUUGAUAAAAAUAGAAUUAUGAAGCUCUUAGAAACUAGAGCCCAGUGCCCUGGAAGAAUAAAGUCAUAUGAAAUUUGCAGAGUUAGACGUGGUCGUAGUUUUAAGCAGUUUAAAUAAUGUUGAAUGGUGUGAUCUGUCCCUCUGUGGAGUAAUACUUAAUGCACACUUGCUUCAGACUUCUGUGCGUCCUGCUGAGUGCUGGUGUUCCCGAAGGCCAGGCAGUUGUUUUGCAGGUUGGUCCUGGAACCCAGGUCGCUGCCCCACAGAGUGGUGCGCAGGUCCUCCUGCCCUCUGCAGCCCACGGCCCCUGCGCGGUGCCCCCCUCCUGGUGAGGCUGGGGACGCAGCCGUGUCUCCGAGAUGUGCAUGGCCCCUCUGCCUGCUCCGGUCUGCUGUCCUCCGUUCGUGCUCCUGCUCAGUUAGAUCCCACCCCACGUGGGAUGCGUGGUCUCCAGCGCCUUCUCCAAGAAGCUGCCUGCAGUGGCCCCCCAGGUCCGGAGCAGCGUGGUGCACCCACGCGAGGAAGUCGUUCUCACUUGGCUGCCCAGCCCAGGCCCAGCAUCACUCCCC